This 497-nucleotide ribosomal RNA is filed under the name uncultured bacterium. RNAcentral describes it as "partial 16S ribosomal RNA". It matches the Rfam family "Bacterial small subunit ribosomal RNA", at positions 28 to 507 of the family's 1533-position model. The record is from RNAcentral.
GACGAACGCUGGCGGCGUGCCUAAUACAUGCAAGUAGAACGCUGAAGAGAGGAGCUUGCUCUUCUCUGCUGAGUUGCGAACGGGUGAGUAACGCGUAGGUAACCUGCCUUGUAGCGGGGGAUCACUAUUGGAAACGAUAGCUAAUACCGCAUAACAAUGGAUGACACAUGUCAUUUAUUUGAAUGGGGCAAUUGUUCCACUACAAGAUGGACCUGCGUUGUAUUAGCUAGUAGGUGAGGUACUGGCUCACCUAGGCGACGUUACAUAGCCGACCUGAGCGGGUGGGCGGCCAGCCUGGGACGGAGACACGGCCCAGAGGCCUACGGAGAGGAGCAGUAGGGAAUCGUCGGGAAUGGGGGCAACCCUGUCCGAGAUACGCCGAGGGCGUAAGGAGCGUUUUCGGAUCGGAAAGCUCGGUUGUAAGUCAAGAACGGGUGUUAGAGUGGAAAGUUCACACAGUGACGGUAGCUGACCAGAAAGGGACGGCUAACUACGUG